AUCAACUUUCGAUGGUAGGAUAGAGGCCUACCAUGGUGGUAACGGGUAACGGGGUGUUAGGGCACGACACCGGAGAGGGAGCCUGAGAAACGGCUACCACAUCCAAGGAUGGCAGCAGGCGCGCAAAUUACCCAAUCCCGACACGGGGAGGUAGUGACAAUAAAUAACAAUACGGGGUCCUUUGGGUCUCGUAAUUGGAAUGAGUACAAUUUAAAUCUCUUAACGAGGAACAAUUGGAGGGCAAGUCUGGUGCCAGCAGCCGCGGUAAUUCCAGCUCCAAUAGCGUAUAUUAAAGUUGUUGCAGUUAAAAAGCUCGUAGUUGAAUUUCGGGAUCAGCAGGUUGGUCGUGCCUCUGGUAUGCACUGGUUUCGCUGUUUCCUCCUUUCUGAAGAACUGUAAUGUCAUUAAUUUGGUGUUGCAGGGAAACAGGACUGUUACUUUGAAAAAAUUAGAGUGUUUAAAGCAGGCUAAGGCUUGAAUACAUUAGCAUGGAAUAAUGAAAUAGGACGUUUGAUCCUAUUUUGUUGGUUUCUAGGAUUGACGUAAUGAUUAAUAGGGAUAGUUGGGGGCAUUAGUAUUCAAUUGUCAGAGGUGAAAUUCUUGGAUUUAUUGAAGACUAACUACUGCGAAAGCAUUUGCCAAGGAUGUUUUCAUUAAUCAAGAACGAAAGUUAGGGGAUCGAAGANGAUCAGAUACCGUCGUAGUCUUAACCAUAAACUAUGCCGACUAGGGAUCGGAUGAUGUUAAUUUUUUAAUGACUCAUUCGGCGCCUUACGGGAAACCAAAGUGUUUGGGUUC
Molecule: ribosomal RNA, 798 nt
Filed under: uncultured Glomeromycotina
Lineage: Eukaryota; Fungi; Glomeromycota
Description: SSU rRNA
Rfam family: Eukaryotic small subunit ribosomal RNA
Source: RNAcentral